GGUUAAGCGACUAAGCGUACACGGUGGAUGCCCUGGCAGUCAGAGGCGAUGAAGGGCGUGCUAAUCUGCGAUAAGCGCCGGUAAGGUGAUAUGAACCGUUAUAACCGGCGAUACCCGAAUGGGGAAACCCAGUGUGACUCGUCACACUAUCAUUAACUGAAUCCAUAGGUUAAUGAGGCGAACCGGGGGAACUGAAACAUCUAAGUACCCCGAGGAAAAGAAAUCAACCGAGAUUCCCCCAGUAGCGGCGAGCGAACGGGGAGGAGCCCAGAGCCUGAAUCAGCAUGUGUGUUAGUGGAAGCGUCUGGAAAGGCGCGCGAUACAGGGUGACAGCCCCGUACACAAAAGCGCAUGUGCUGUGAGCUCGAUGAGUAGGGCGGGACACGUGGUAUCCUGUCUGAAUAUGGGGGGACCAUCCUCCAAGGCUAAAUACUCCUGACUGACCGAUAGUGAACCAGUACCGUGAGGGAAAGGCGAAAAGAACCCCGGCGAGGGGAGUGAAAAAGAACCUGAAACCGUGUACGUACAAGCAGUGGGAGCACCCUUUGGGUGUGACUGCGUACCUUUUGUAUAAUGGGUCAGCGACUUAUAUUCUGUAGCAAGGUUAACCGAAUAGGGGAGCCGGAGGGAAACCGAGUCUUAACCGGGCGUUAAGUUGCAGGGUAUAGACCCGAAACCCGGUGAUCUAGCCAUGGGCAGGUUGAAGGUUGGGUAACACUAACUGGAGGACCGAACCGACUAAUGUUGAAAAAUUAGCGGAUGACCUGUGGCUGGGGGUGAAAGGCCAAUCAAACCGGGAGAUAGCUGGUUCUCCCCGAAAGCUAUUUAGGUAGCGCCUCGUGAAUUCAUCUCCGGGGGUAGAGCACUGUUUCGGCUAGGGGGCCAUCCCGGCUUACCAACCCGAUGCAAACUGCGAAUACCGGAGAAUGUUAUCACGGGAGACACACGGCGGGUGCUAACGUCCGUCGUGAAGAGGGAAACAACCCAGACCGCCAGCUAAGGUCCCAAAGUCAUGGUUAAGUGGGAAACGAUGUGGGAAGGCCCAGACAGCCAGGAUGUUGGCUUAGAAGCAGCCAUCAUUUAAAGAAAGCGUAAUAGCUCACUGGUCGAGUCGGCCUGCGCGGAAGAUGUAACGGGGCUAAACCAUGCACCGAAGCUGCGGCAGCGACACUGUGUGUUGUUGGGUAGGGGAGCGUUCUGUAAGCCUGUGAAGGUGUGUCGUGAGGCAUGCUGGAGGUAUCAGAAGUGCGAAUGCUGACAUAAGUAACGAUAAAGCGGGUGAAAAGCCCGCUCGCCGGAAGACCAAGGGUUCCUGUCCAACGUUAAUCGGGGCAGGGUGAGUCGACCCCUAAGGCGAGGCCGAAAGGCGUAGUCGAUGGGAAACGGGUUAAUAUUCCCGUACUUGGUGUUACUGCGAAGGGGGGACGGAGAAGGCUAUGUUGGCCGGGCGACGGUUGUCCCGGUUUAAGCGUGUAGGUGUGUGUUCCAGGUAAAUCCGGUUCACUUUAACACUGAGGCGUGACGACGAGGCACUACGGUGCUGAAGCAACAAAUGCCCUGCUUCCAGGAAAAGCCUCUAAGCAUCAGGUAACAUCAAAUCGUACCCCAAACCGACACAGGUGGUCAGGUAGAGAAUACCAAGGCGCUUGAGAGAACUCGGGUGAAGGAACUAGGCAAAAUGGUGCCGUAACUUCGGGAGAAGGCACGCUGACACGUAGGUGAAGUGAUUUACUCAUGGAGCUGAAGUCAGUCGAAGAUACCAGCUGGCUGCAACUGUUUAUUAAAAACACAGCACUGUGCAAACACGAAAGUGGACGUAUACGGUGUGACGCCUGCCCGGUGCCGGAAGGUUAAUUGAUGGGGUCAGCGCAAGCGAAGCUCCUGAUCGAAGCCCCGGUAAACGGCGGCCGUAACUAUAACGGUCCUAAGGUAGCGAAAUUCCUUGUCGGGUAAGUUCCGACCUGCACGAAUGGCGUAAUGAUGGCCAGGCUGUCUCCACCCGAGACUCAGUGAAAUUGAACUCGCUGUGAAGAUGCAGUGUACCCGCGGCAAGACGGAAAGACCCCGUGAACCUUUACUAUAGCUUGACACUGAACAUUGAGCCUUGAUGUGUAGGAUAGGUGGGAGGCUUUGAAGUGUGGACGCCAGUCUGCAUGGAGCCGACCUUGAAAUACCACCCUUUAAUGUUUGAUGUUCUAACGUGGACCCGUUACCCGGGUUGCGGACAGUGUCUGGUGGGUAGUUUGACUGGGGCGGUCUCCUCCUAAAGAGUAACGGAGGAGCACGAAGGUUGGCUAAUCCUGGUCGGACAUCAGGAGGUUAGUGCAAUGGCAUAAGCCAGCUUGACUGCGAGCGUGACGGCGCGAGCAGGUGCGAAAGCAGGUCAUAGUGAUCCGGUGGUUCUGAAUGGAAGGGCCAUCGCUCAACGGAUAAAAGGUACUCCGGGGAUAACAGGCUGAUACCGCCCAAGAGUUCAUAUCGACGGCGGUGUUUGGCACCUCGAUGUCGGCUCAUCACAUCCUGGGGCUGAAGUAGGUCCCAAGGGUAUGGCUGUUCGCCAUUUAAAGUGGUACGCGAGCUGGGUUUAGAACGUCGUGAGACAGUUCGGUCCCUAUCUGCCGUGGGCGCUGGAGAACUGAGGGGGGCUGCUCCUAGUACGAGAGGACCGGAGUGGACGCAUCACUGGUGUUCGGGUUGUCAUGCCAAUGGCACUGCCCGGUAGCUAAAUGCGGAAGAGAUAAGUGCUGAAAGCAUCUAAGCACGAAACUUGCCCCGAG
RNAcentral lists this ribosomal RNA (2777 nucleotides) under Salmonella enterica. Its description in RNAcentral is "partial 23S ribosomal RNA". It matches the Rfam family "Bacterial large subunit ribosomal RNA". The record is from RNAcentral. Lineage: Bacteria; Pseudomonadati; Pseudomonadota; Gammaproteobacteria; Enterobacterales; Enterobacteriaceae. RNAcentral also lists the same sequence under 1 other name.